GUGGAGCAUGUGGCUUAAUUUGACUCAACGCGGGGAAUCUUACUAGGUCCGGACCGAGUCUAUGAACGUCGUACCGUUGGGUGCUACGUGAUUACUGGAUGAGUGGUGCAUGGCCGUUCUUAGUUCGUGGUGUUAAUUGUCUACUUAAUUGUUUCGGCCAUGUAUCUCUCAGUACAGUCCUUACAACGAACGAGAUCGAGACCCGUGGUUGCGUUGUGUUUGAAUUCGGUAUUACUACGGGGAUCGCGUAAUCACUCAACGGUACGAUCGAAAGACUCGGCAAUAACAGGUCUGUGAUGCCCUCAGAUGUUCUAGGCUGCACACGUGCUACAUUGUGAGUUGUAGUAUAUUGUGUAUGCGUAGAUAUGUCUAAGAUCCCCCGCACCGAGUCAAUUACUCACGUGGUGGACUCACCGAUUGUAAUAAUUAUUCUGUAUA
RNAcentral lists this ribosomal RNA (438 nucleotides) under Amphistegina lobifera. Its description in RNAcentral is "SSU rRNA". It matches the Rfam family "Eukaryotic small subunit ribosomal RNA", at positions 1176 to 1601 of the family's 1831-position model. The record is from RNAcentral. Lineage: Eukaryota; Foraminifera; Rotaliida; Amphisteginidae.